This 263-nucleotide ribosomal RNA is filed under the name uncultured prokaryote. RNAcentral's name for it is "partial 16S ribosomal RNA". It matches the Rfam family "Bacterial small subunit ribosomal RNA", at positions 524 to 786 of the family's 1533-position model. The record is from RNAcentral.
UACGUAGGGUGCGAGCGUUGUCCGGAAUUAUUGGGCGUAAAGAGCGCGCAGGUGGUUGAUUAAGUCUGAUGUGAAAGCCCACGGCUUAACCGUGGAGGGUCAUUGGAAACUGGUCGACUUGAGUGCAGAAGAGGGAAGUGGAAUUCCAUGUGUAGCGGUGAAAUGCGUAGAGAUAUGGAGGAACACCAGCGGCGAAGGCGGCUUCCUGGUCUGUAACUGACACUGAGGCGCGAAAGCGUGGGGGGCAAACAGGAUUAGAUACU